GUUUUAAUAGUUUAAAAUAGAAUGUAACUUUGAAGCAGUUAAGGUUAGCUUUAUGGCUGUUAAAAUG
RNAcentral lists this transfer RNA (67 nucleotides) under Cyclina sinensis. RNAcentral's name for it is "tRNA-Phe". Lineage: Eukaryota; Metazoa; Mollusca; Bivalvia; Venerida; Veneridae. The record is from RNAcentral.